This 377-nucleotide long non-coding RNA is filed under the name Nicotiana benthamiana. RNAcentral's name for it is "long non-coding RNA (NBEN_LNC030897)". Lineage: Eukaryota; Viridiplantae; Streptophyta; Magnoliopsida; Solanales; Solanaceae. The record is from RNAcentral.
AACUGUUUGGCUGCCCCCAAACCUAUGCACAAGCCUAAAGUUGUUCAACAAUGGAGACCCAAAGUGGUAAAUGACAAUGUUAUGCAGCCUCCCAAGCAGCAAACCAUACCAGAGCAGAUGGUGUUCCCUUCUGUAAUAGCUGAUCCUGUAGAAAAUACUGAUAUGUUCAUACAGGUGGAUAAAGGCAAACAGGUCCAUACUCCAGCUUUCAAUCUUACAAACUUCCCCCCUUUAUCCCCUGUGGUGUUGAGUAAUAGAUUUCAAAGCAUGUCAGAUGGUAGACAAGGUAACCCCCCUGAUAAAGGGGGUCCUAGCCAUACACAAUGAAGUUGUUAGUCUGGAAUAUUAGAGGUGUAAAUAAGAGAUAUAAACAAAAG